CUUGUGGAUCAGUGGCGAACGGGUGAGUAACACGUGAGCAACCUGCCCCUGACUCUGGGAUAAGCGCUGGAAACGGCGUCUAAUACUGGAUACGAGUAGCGGCCGCAUGGUCAGUUACUGGAAAGAUUUAUUGGUUGGGGAUGGGCUCGCGGCCUAUCAGCUUGUUGGUGAGGUAAUGGCUCACCAAGGCGUCGACGGGUAGCCGGCCUGAGAGGGUGACCGGCCACACUGGGACUGAGACACGGCCCAGACUCCUACGGGAGGCAGCAGUGGGGAAUAUUGCACAAUGGGCGCAAGCCUGAUGCAGCAACGCCGCGUGAGGGAUGACGGCCUUCGGGUUGUAAACCUCUUUUAGCAGGGAAGAAGCGAGAGUGACGGUACCUGCAGAAAAAGCACCGGCUAACUACGUGCCAGCAGCCGCGGUAAUACGUAGGGUGCAAGCGUUAUCCGGAAUUAUUGGGCGUAAAGAGCUCGUAGGCGGUUUGUCGCGUCUGCUGUGAAAUCUGGGGGCUCAACCCCCAGCCUGCAGUGGGUACGGGCAGACUAGAGUGCGGUAGGGGAGAUUGGAAUUCCUGGUGUAGCGGUGGAAUGCGCAGAUAUCAGGAGGAACACCGAUGGCGAAGGCAGAUCUCUGGGCCGUAACUGACGCUGAGGAGCGAAAGGGUGGGGAGCAAACAGGCUUAGAUACCCUGGUAGUCCACCCCGUAAACGUUGGGAACUAGUUGUGGGGUCCAUUCCACGGAUUCCGUGACGCAGCUAACGCAUUAAGUUCCCCGCCUGGGGAGUACGGCCGCAAGGCUAAAACUCAAAGGAAUUGACGGGGACCCGCACAAGCGGCGGAGCAUGCGGAUUAAUUCGAUGCAACGCGAAGAACCUUACCAAGGCUUGACAUAUACGAA
RNAcentral lists this ribosomal RNA (899 nucleotides) under Microbacterium phyllosphaerae. RNAcentral describes it as "bacterial SSU rRNA". It matches the Rfam family "Bacterial small subunit ribosomal RNA", at positions 84 to 994 of the family's 1533-position model. The record is from RNAcentral. Lineage: Bacteria; Bacillati; Actinomycetota; Actinomycetes; Micrococcales; Microbacteriaceae.